CCUACGGGAGGCAGCAGUGGGGAAUAUUGGACAAUGGGGGGAACCCUGAUCCAGCCAUGCCGCGUGUGUGAAGAAGGCCCUCGGGUUGUAAAGCACUUUCAGUGAGGAAGAACGCCUGGUGGUUAAUACCCAUCAGGAAAGACAUCACUCACAGAAGAAGCACCGGCUAACUCCGUGCCAGCAGCCGCGGUAAUACGGAGGGUGCGAGCGUUAAUCGGAAUUACUGGGCGUAAAGCGCGCGUAGGUGGCUUGAUAAGCCGGUUGUGAAAGCCCCGGGCUCAACCUGGGAACGGCAUCCGGAACUGUCAAGCUAGAGUGCAGGAGAGGAAGGUAGAAUUCCCGGUGUAGCGGUGAAAUGUGUAGAGAUCGGGAGGAAUACCAGUGGCGAAGGCGGCCUUCUGGACUGACACUGACACUGAGGUGCGAAAGCGUGGGUAGCAAACAGGAUUAGAUACCCUGGUAGUC
RNAcentral lists this ribosomal RNA (465 nucleotides) under Vreelandella stevensii. Its description in RNAcentral is "partial 16S ribosomal RNA". It matches the Rfam family "Bacterial small subunit ribosomal RNA", at positions 338 to 795 of the family's 1533-position model. The record is from RNAcentral. Lineage: Bacteria; Pseudomonadati; Pseudomonadota; Gammaproteobacteria; Oceanospirillales; Halomonadaceae.